RNAcentral lists this ribosomal RNA (601 nucleotides) under uncultured bacterium. Its description in RNAcentral is "bacterial SSU rRNA". It matches the Rfam family "Bacterial small subunit ribosomal RNA", at positions 729 to 1334 of the family's 1533-position model. The record is from RNAcentral.
CUGUAGCGUAACUGACGCUGAAGCUCGAAAGUGUGGGUAUCGAACAGGAUUAGAUACCCUGGUAGUCCACACGGUAAACGAUGGAUGCUCGCUGUGCGCCUUCAGAGGUGCGUGGCCAAGCGAAAGCAUUAAGCAUCCCACCUGGGGAGUACGCCGGCAACGGUGAAACUCAAAGGAAUUGACGGGGGCCCGCACAAGCGGAGGAACAUGUGGUUUAAUUCGAUGAUACGCGAGGAACCUUACCCGGGCUUGAACUGCCAGUGAACGAUUCAGAGAUGAUGAGGCCCUUCGGGGCGCUGGUGGAGGUGCUGCAUGGUUGUCGUCAGCUCGUGCCGUGAGGUGUCGGCUUAAGUGCCAUAACGAGCGCAACCCCUUUCGUCAGUUGCCAUCAGGUAAUGCUGGGCACUCUGGCGACACUGCCACCGUAAGGUGUGAGGAAGGUGGGGAUGACGUCAAAUCAGCACGGCCUUUACGUCCGGGGCUACACACGUGUUACAAUGGCGCAUACAGAGAGUUGGCUUAUGGCGACAUGAGUCUAAUCAAGAAAAUGCGUCGUAGUUCGGAUUGGGGUCUGCAACCCGACCCCAUGAAGCUGGAUUCG